GACGGAAGGUGCAAGCGUUGCUCGGAAUCACUGGGCGUAAAGGGUGCGUAGGCGGCUUGGUAAGUUGGGUGUGAAAGCCCCGGGCUCAGCCCGGGAAGGGCACUCGAAACUGCCGAGCUGGAGUGCCGGAGGGGAGAGUGGAAUUCCUGGUGUAGCGGUGAAAUGCGUAGAUAUCAGGAGGAAUACCGGUGGCGAAAGCGACUCUCUGGACAGCAACUGACGCUGAGGCACGAAAGCGUGGGGAGCAAACAGG
This 253-nucleotide ribosomal RNA is filed under the name uncultured bacterium. Its description in RNAcentral is "partial 16S ribosomal RNA". It matches the Rfam family "Bacterial small subunit ribosomal RNA", at positions 524 to 776 of the family's 1533-position model. The record is from RNAcentral.